RNAcentral lists this small nuclear RNA (64 nucleotides) under Mus pahari (shrew mouse). Its description in RNAcentral is "predicted gene, 25656 (MGP_PahariEiJ_G0033470.1)". The record is from RNAcentral. Lineage: Eukaryota; Metazoa; Chordata; Mammalia; Rodentia; Muridae.
CAGCUAUUACAACUCAGUUAGAGUUUUUGUGGCAGGUUUUUCUGACUUGGUUUGGAAAACCCAU